UACGUAGGUGGCAAGCGUUAUCCGGAUUUGCUGGGUGUAAAGGGCGUGUAGGCGGGGAAGCAAGUCAGAUGUGAAAACCACGGGCUCAACCUGUGGCCUGCAUUUGAAACUGUUUUUCUUGAGUGCUGGAGAGGCAAUCGGAAUUCCGUGUGUAGCGGUGAAAUGCGUAGAUAUACGGAGGAACACCAGUGGCGAAGGCGGAUUGCUGGACAGUAACUGACGCUGAGGCGCGAAAGCGUGGGGAGCAAACAGG
Molecule: ribosomal RNA, 253 nt
Filed under: uncultured bacterium
Lineage: Bacteria
Description: partial 16S ribosomal RNA
Rfam family: Bacterial small subunit ribosomal RNA
Source: RNAcentral